GUGCAGCAGGCGCGAAACCUCCGCAAUGUACGAAAGUGCGACGGGGGGAUCCCAAGUGUCAUGCUUUUUUGUAUGACUUUUCAUUAGUGUAAAAAGCUUUUAGAAUAAGAGCUGGGCAAGACCGGUGCCAGCCGCCGCGGUAACACCGGCAGCUCGAGUGGUAGCUGUUUUUAUUGGGCCUAAAGCGUUCGUAGCCGGUUUGAUAAGUCUUUGGUGAAAGCUUGUAGCUUAACUAUAAGAAUUGCUGGAGAUACUAUUAGACUUGAAGUCGGGAGAGGUUAGAGGUACUACCGGGGUAGGGGUGAAAUCCUAUAAUCCUGGGAGGACCACCUGUGGCGAAGGCGUCUAACUGGAACGAUCUUGACGGUGAGUAACGAAAGCCAGGGGCGCGAACCGGAUUAGAUACCCGGGUAGUCC
Molecule: ribosomal RNA, 417 nt
Filed under: uncultured archaeon
Lineage: Archaea
Description: bacterial SSU rRNA
Rfam family: Archaeal small subunit ribosomal RNA
Source: RNAcentral